GUAGGUGCCUAUGAGAAAUCACCAAGAAGGCUGAGGGAUGAAGUGACCCCACCUUUUCAUCCUGCUCCUGUACUACUGAGCUGGCUGCAAACAAAACACAGUGGGAGCCUUGCCAGGCAAUGGUGUGGUUCCCCUGAGGUGCUGCUAAGUGCUCUACAGAAAGGAACUGGUGACCGGGAGGCUCUUGGAAGGAGAGAGAAACUGGGACUUGCCAGGGAACAGGAAGUAAAUGGAGUGUCUUGAGGAGAUGCCUUGUAGGGAGAGCUGACUGCCAGCCAAAAACCCGUCCAGCUACAAAAGCAGCUGUUUCAGCCCAAAGAAUCUUUUGGUUGCAGCUGGCUGUGCUGUGCCCUGUCUCAGCCUCCAGAGAGCCUGUGUCACAGGACAGGAGACCUUUCAGCUGGAGAAGUCAGCCGCUGUUGAAGCUUGACCCAGAUUCUGAGGGAACUGCCAGCCCUUCCUGAUCCCUGACCCUUGAGAGGUCUCUAUGGAGAGCUGAUUCUUUGGAAAGACUCAUCUUGGUGUGAAACACUUCCUCAACUACCAGUGCAGCACAACAAGAGCAUGUGGCCUUGGGGAUAUCCUGUCUGCCCACUGGGGAAGGUGACACGGUGUAUCAAAGCUGUGCCUUCCUUCACAUCUCCAGUGCGGUAAAUAUGUUAUCACCAGCUCAUUAGUUGCAAAAUUAAUUAGCAUUCCAGCCAUGGGAUGUGAUCUGUUUCUCAACUCAGCAGGCUGGCCAGGCAGGAGCUUCUGUCCAGCCUGAGGAAAGGAUGUUUGGG
Long non-coding RNA from Zonotrichia leucophrys gambelii, 782 nucleotides. RefSeq lists it as uncharacterized. The transcript has 5 exons. NCBI's taxonomy places the organism in Eukaryota, Metazoa, Chordata, Aves, Passeriformes, Passerellidae. The record is from RefSeq and is a predicted model, not a curated record.